AAACCAGGAGGAAUGUGGCCCCUCGGGGUGUUAUAGCCUCCCGGAAAAUACACUGGACGGGAUUGAGGACUGCAGUAAAUGCCUUUAGGCGAAAUACCUGGGCGCUUGUGUUGAGGACGUGUAGAAUCUCUGCUUCGGGUGGUGCUACGCUCUAAUGUGCAACUCGCCUAGAUUAUUUUCUAUUUGCUUAGGUUGUUGGCUUAAUGACUCUAAAUGA
RNAcentral lists this ribosomal RNA (217 nucleotides) under Backusellaceae sp. RNAcentral's name for it is "partial large subunit ribosomal RNA". The record is from RNAcentral. Lineage: Eukaryota; Fungi; Mucoromycota; Mucoromycetes; Mucorales; Backusellaceae.